GGGGAAUGUCCCAAAAAAUGUUAUUUGAUUCUGGUUAGAGGCUUUUGUCAGACUACGAUGGGCAUGGGCGGUGUUGGUAUUGGUGUCAGUAUUGGUAUAGGUAUUGAUAUUAGCAUUGUGGUUGAAUAGUUGGUUGAGGUUGUUUGAUUUUUAUUAGAGACUUUAUUUAAUGUCUCUAAACUAUUAUUGUCCUAUUUCAUUACAUGUUCAUAAUUCAUCAGACAUAGGGUGCAGGGCGGUUAUGGUUGGGUAUUGGGGGUGGUCUCCGGUCUUAGUUGGACUUGAGAUGCCUGCCACAACUAGUCCCUAGUUUGGGUCAUGUCAAAUUGGUAUUAGAGCCCUUGGUUCAUGGUCAAUUGGGUGUCUGAAAAAGCUGUAUCGAAUAGAUACU
Molecule: long non-coding RNA, 391 nt
Filed under: Capsicum annuum
Lineage: Eukaryota; Viridiplantae; Streptophyta; Magnoliopsida; Solanales; Solanaceae
Description: long non-coding RNA (CANN_LNC008115)
Source: RNAcentral